Molecule: long non-coding RNA, 218 nt
Filed under: Solanum tuberosum (potato)
Lineage: Eukaryota; Viridiplantae; Streptophyta; Magnoliopsida; Solanales; Solanaceae
Description: long non-coding RNA (STUB_LNC004584)
Source: RNAcentral
CCAUCCCGUAUACCCUGCUGACCACCUCUACGGUCCUGACCCUGACCACGGCCUCUAACUGGAGGUGCUGGUAAAGCUGGGGGAGCUGCAUGAGGAGCGGGAGCAAUCCGACUAUGCUGAGGGCAGUCCCUGGCCCAAUGACCCAUCUCACCACACUCAUAGCAACCCUGUCGAGGGCGACUCCCAGAUUAACGACUACCAUGGCCUGAAGAACCCGA